Molecule: ribosomal RNA, 324 nt
Filed under: Francisella-like endosymbiont
Lineage: Bacteria; Pseudomonadati; Pseudomonadota; Gammaproteobacteria; Thiotrichales; Francisellaceae
Description: bacterial SSU rRNA
Rfam family: Bacterial small subunit ribosomal RNA
Source: RNAcentral
ACUGACACUGAGGGACGAAAGCGUGGGGAUCAAACAGGAUUAGAUACCCUGGUAGUCCACACUGUAAACGAUGAGUACUAGUUGUUGGAGUCGGUGUAAAGGCUCUAGUGGCGCAGCUAACGCGAUAAGUACUCCGCCUGGGGACUACGGCCGCAAGGCUAAAACUCAAAGACCCGCACAAGCUGGGGAGCAUCUGGUUUAAUUUGAUGCAACGUGAAGAACCUUACCUGGUCUUGACAUCCUGCGAUCUUUCUAGAGAUAGAUUGGUGCCUUCAGGAACGCAGUGACAGGUGCUGCACGGCUGUCGUCAGCUCGUGUUGUGAA